UGGAAGUAAUUUUCGUAACAAGGUUUCCGUAGGUGAACCUGCGG
RNAcentral lists this ribosomal RNA (44 nucleotides) under Penicillium citrinum. RNAcentral's name for it is "partial 18S ribosomal RNA". Lineage: Eukaryota; Fungi; Ascomycota; Eurotiomycetes; Eurotiales; Aspergillaceae. The record is from RNAcentral.